This 455-nucleotide ribosomal RNA is filed under the name uncultured Mollicutes bacterium. Its description in RNAcentral is "bacterial SSU rRNA". It matches the Rfam family "Bacterial small subunit ribosomal RNA", at positions 923 to 1382 of the family's 1533-position model. Lineage: Bacteria; Bacillati; Mycoplasmatota; Mollicutes. The record is from RNAcentral.
GCACAAGCGGUGGAGUAUGUUGUUAAUUCGAAGAUACACGAAGAACCUUACCAGGUCUUGACAUACCAUUGACAGGUGUAGAGAUACACUCUCCUUCGGGCAAUGGAUACAGGUGGUGCAUGGUUGUCGUCAGCUCGUGCCGUGAGGUGUUGGGUUAAGUCCCGCAACGAGCGCAACCCUCAUUGUUAGUUACUACCAUUCAGUUGAGGACUCUAAUGAGACUGCCAACGACAAGUUGGAGGAAGGUGGGGAUGACGUCAAAUCAUCAUGCCCUUUAUGACCUGGGCUACAAACGUACUACAAUGGCCAAUACAAAGAGAUGCGAAGCGGUGACGUGAAGCGAACCUCAGAAAGUUGGUCUCAGUUCAGAUUGAAGUCUGCAACUCGACUUCAUGAAGGCGGAAUCGCUAGUAAUCGCGGGUCAGCAGACCGCGGUGAAUACGUUCCCGGGUUUU